GGAUUCGGUGCAUUCCUAAUAGUCAUAAUUAUGAGAUAAUAAUGUUUCUAGAACUUAAUAACUGCAUUACUUCUCGCCAGAAUUGACCUUUUUCCCAUAAAGGAUGUGAAAUAAUAGAGAAUCUUCUUGUUCUUUAGCUUUCUCAGGCUCCACCCAAUUCUGUGAUUUGUGCUCGUCCCUCUCAGAUUGGGGAGAGAUCGGACAGUGAAUGUUCAGAAAAAUUAUCACCAGACUCAAUUGAUUCUCCGACCCCUGCUAUUCCCUCUAUUCCAAUUGAGGAUUUCCAGUUCUGCGAGUGGCUUGGCAGUGGAAGCUUUGGACAAGUCUUUAAGGCAGUACAUAAAAAGUCUGGAAAAACGGUCGCCAUCAAAAAGAUGGAAAAGAAAAAUAUUUUGCAAAGUCAUAUGAUUAACAGACUUUACCUGGAAAGGGACAUAUUAAGGCUGGUGAGGAUUAGAAGGAACCCUUUCCUGGUGAGCUUAUUCUGCUCCUUCCAGAGAGAACACCAUGUAUACAUAGCCAUGGAGUUUGCUGCUGGAGGAAAUUUGGAAUCCCGGUUGAAGAACGGAGCACUGCCCCCAAGCGACACUUUAUUCUAUGCCGCCUGCAUCGUCCUUGGGAUUAAGUUUUUACAUGAAUAUCGCAUCGUCCACCGGUAAGAGAAUUAAAAAGGGAAUUUAAUUUUCAGGGGUUAUAUUUUUUUAUAUUUUUAUUAUGAGGCAGAAUAAAGUGGCCUCUUACAGGUGCGGAAAGGAGGGUUCUGAAUUCUAGGUCAAUAUUAGAUAUGGCCUAUAUAUAAGGAUGGGGGGUCAUUCUCUAGUUCUCUGUUCAGAAACCAAAGGCUUUGCUGAUCAUGUUAUUUCUUUCCCUCCAGAGAUUUAAAGCCUGCAAAUAUUGUCCUAGACAGUGAUGGAUAUGCCAAAAUUGCAGAUUUUGGGUUGUGCAAAGCAGGUAUUGGCUACAGAGAUGAAAUGACCUACCCAUGUGGAACGGAGUGUUACUGGGCUCCAGAAAUGUUUGCAGAAAGAAACUACAGGAGAAGCGUGGACUGGUGGGCUUUAGGCAUAAUCAUCUAUAAAAUGGCCGUUGGCUACGUGAGUAUAAAGCCGUCACUAAUAAUCCCAUUAGGUUCUACAAUGCUGUCUAUUUACUUUAUUCUAUUGAAGAGACUCAAAUUGUAAAGAUCUCACUCUGCUCCAUCACCCGCCCAGACCCGCUCCCUGCUUGAAAUAUUGGCUCUGCCGGGUGAAGGAAACAGUGGGCACGGGGGUCCCGAGGGGGUUUGUGGCUGGAGGGGGCACAGAAUACUUUUUGACUGGGGGCCCAGAGGUUUUUUUAUUGGGUUCCUGAAGCAACAGGACCAGUGGUUUCUGGGUCCGCCAGUCCAAUGUUGUGUUCCAGUGAAAUAUUCCAUAAAAUCUCUUUCAAUUUCCCAGACAAAUUGCCAUUAGAAUUUCACUAAUAACAACUCCUGCCCCGGAGUAAUACCGUCGUUCUUUUCUCAGAAUACCCGAGUUCCUGACUUGAUAUCUUUCUAUUUUUGCAGGUGCCUUUUACCGGAAAUAAUUUUAGAGAAUUGCGGGAAAAGGUCUUCUAUGAAGAACCCGAACUUCCAGCCAAUCUGGAUAAUGAAACCAGUAUGGUGAUAAAACUGCUCUUAGACAAAGACUGUAUAAGCCGGCUCGGAUCACUUAGAAACGAUGGAGAAGAAGUGAUGAAUUGUAGCUACUUUGAUCCAAUAAUGUGGGAAGCUCUUAUGGCCAAGCAAGUGCGAGCCCCAUUCAUCCCUAGCCCGGAUGAUACUAGAGAAGAGGACAGUGAGGGGGG
Long non-coding RNA from Xenopus laevis (African clawed frog), 1827 nucleotides. RefSeq lists it as uncharacterized. The record is from RefSeq and is a predicted model, not a curated record. Lineage: Eukaryota; Metazoa; Chordata; Amphibia; Anura; Pipidae. The transcript has 8 exons.